Molecule: ribosomal RNA, 1420 nt
Filed under: human gut metagenome
Description: bacterial LSU rRNA
Rfam family: Bacterial large subunit ribosomal RNA
Source: RNAcentral
GGUCUAGUGGUUCCGCGCCGACAAUGUAGCGGGGCUCAAGCACACCACCGAAGACGCGGCAGUAGCUUUGCUACUGGGUAGGAGAGCGUCCCAUGCGGGGCGAAGCGGCGGCGCAAGCCCGCCGUGGACCGCAUGGGAGUGAGAAUGCAGACAUGAGUAGCGAAAGACGGGUGAAGAUCCCGUCCGCUGGACGACCAAGGGUUCCAGGGCCACGUUCAUCGUCCCUGGGUGAGUCGGGUCCUAAGGCGAGGCCGACAGGCGUAGUCGAAUGGAUGAACGGGUCGAUAUUCCCGUACCGGCAUGCAACCGACAAAACCGAAUCCGCGAGUACUAACCUCCGGGUCCGGGCUUACGUCUCCUUCGGGAGCCGGAUGCCCUGGCCUGUUGGGACCGUAACGGUAGUAGGUCAGCGCGGGAGUGACGCAGAAGGGUAGCCGGCCGCGGAGGUGGUCUUCCGUGGUCAAGCACGCAGCCCGUCCCACAGGCAAAUCCGUGGGGCGCGUGGGCGAGGUGCGAUGAUGGGCGCCGCAGGGCGCGAUAUCCGGUGAUCCCGGCUGCCGAGAAAAGCUUCGGCGUGAGGCGGCGUGCCGCCCGUACCCCAAACCGACACUGGUGGUCAGGUAGAGAAUACCAAAGCGAUCGAGCGAAUCCUGGUCAAGGAACUCGGCAAAUCACUCCCGUUCCUUCGGUUUAAGGGAGACCCCCGAUGGUGAAGCGGCUUGCCCGUGGAGCUUUUGGGGGUGGCACAGACCAGGGGGUAGCGACUGUUUACCAAAAACACAGGAGCGUGCGAAGGCGCAAGCCGCUGUAUACGCUCUGACGCCUGCCCGGUGCCGGAAGGUUAAGAGGAUCCGUCAGGCCUCGGCCGAAGCGGUGAAUUCAAGCCCCGGUAAACGGCGGUGGUAACUAUAACCAUCCUAAGGUAGCGAAAUUCCUUGUCGGGUAAGUUCCGACCUGCACGAAUGGCGUAACGACUUCCCCACUGUCUCGACCAGGAGCUCGGCGAAAUUGCAGUACGAGUAAAGAUGCUCGUUAAGCGCAGAAGGACGAAAAGACCCCGGGACCUUUACUAUACCUUGGUAUUGGCAUUCGGUGUGGAUUGUGUAGCAUAGGCGGAAGGCUUCGAAGCCACGGCGCCAGCCGCGGUGGAGCCGCAAGGUGAAAUACCGCUCUGUUCGCAUUGGAUGUCUAACCUCGACCAGUCAUCCUGGUCAGGGACAGUGCCUGGCGGGUAGUUUAACUGGGGCGGUUGCCUCCCAAAGAGUAACGGAGGCGCUCAAAGGUUCCCUCAGCCCGGUUGGCAAUCGGGUGGCGAGUGUAAGUGCACAAGGGAGCUUGACUGCGAGACUGACGGGUCGAGCAGGGACGAAAGUCGGAACUAGUGAUCCGGUGCCGGUGUACGGACGCGGCAUCGCUCAAC